AUCUUCGGCAAUGGACGAAAGUCUGACCGAGCAACUCCGCCAGAGUGAAGAAGGUUUUCGGAUCGUAAAACUCUGUUGCUAGAGAAGAACGUUGGGUAGAGUGGAAAAUUACACAAGUGACGGUAUCUAACCAGAAAGGGACGGCUAACUACGUGCCAGCAGCCGCGGUAAUACGUAGGUCCCGAGCGUUGUCCGGAUUUAUUGGGCGUAAAGCGAGCGCAGGUGGUUUAAUAAGUCUGAUGUAAAAGGCAGUGGCUCAACCAUUGUGUGCAUUGGAAACUGUUAGACUUGAGUGCAGUAGAGGAGAGUGGAAUUCCAUGUGUAGCGGUGAAAUGCGUAGAUAUAUGGAGGAACACCGGUGGCGAAAGCGGCUCUCUGGAUUGUAACUGACACUGAGGCUCGAAAGCGUGGGUAGCAAACAG
This 422-nucleotide ribosomal RNA is filed under the name uncultured bacterium. RNAcentral's name for it is "bacterial SSU rRNA". It matches the Rfam family "Bacterial small subunit ribosomal RNA", at positions 361 to 775 of the family's 1533-position model. The record is from RNAcentral.